This 253-nucleotide ribosomal RNA is filed under the name uncultured bacterium. RNAcentral describes it as "partial 16S ribosomal RNA". It matches the Rfam family "Bacterial small subunit ribosomal RNA", at positions 524 to 776 of the family's 1533-position model. The record is from RNAcentral.
UACGUAGGGCGCAAGCGUUGUCCGGAAUUAUUGGGCGUAAAGAGCUCGUAGGCGGUCUGUUGCGUCCGCUGUGAAAACUCGGGGCUUAACCCCGAGCCUGCAGUGGAUACGGGCAGACUAGAGGUAGGUAGGGGAGAAUGGAAUUCCUGGUGUAGCGGUGAAAUGCGCAGAUAUCAGGAGGAACACCGGUGGCGAAGGCGGGUCUCUGGGCCGAUACUGACGCUGAGGAGCGAAAGCGUGGGGAGCGAACAGG